This 259-nucleotide ribosomal RNA is filed under the name uncultured bacterium. Its description in RNAcentral is "partial 16S ribosomal RNA". It matches the Rfam family "Bacterial small subunit ribosomal RNA", at positions 99 to 354 of the family's 1533-position model. The record is from RNAcentral.
CGGACGGGUGAGUAACGCGUGGGGAACCUGCCCUGUACAGGGGGAUAACACUUAGGAAAUAAGGUGCUAAUACCGCAUAAGCGCACAGUAUCGCAUGAUACAGUGUGAAAAACUCCGGUGGUACAGGAUGGACCCGCGUCUGAUUAGCUGGUUGGCGGGGUAACGGCCCACCCAAGGCGACGAUCAGUAGCCGGCCUGAGAGGGUGAACCGGCCACAUUGGGACUGAGACACGGCCCAAACUCCUACGGGAGGCAGCAG